This is a long non-coding RNA of Hypomesus transpacificus, 798 nucleotides long. RefSeq lists it as uncharacterized. The record is from RefSeq and is a predicted model, not a curated record. The transcript is spliced from 4 exons. NCBI's taxonomy places the organism in Eukaryota, Metazoa, Chordata, Actinopteri, Osmeriformes, Osmeridae.
CUCAUUGCCCUGGCUGUCUGUGUACCUGUCUACCAGUCUGCCCAACACGUCUGUCAGUCAGUAUGUCUACCCUGAAGGUUCUCUCUCUGGUCCUCUUGAUCGCUGUGUGUGAUUGCUUUCGCUUGCCCACUAAGUUCAAGCCAACCUUUUGUUGUAAGAGUCUGAACGAUCGUACUCUCAAGAAUGUCGGUGAAUACCACAGAGUAAAGGCUGAUCCUCCCUCUUGCUUGGAAGCUGUUUACUUCGAGACUAAGGAGGGCCCUGUCUGCAGUGACCCCAAGGCACCCUGGGUAAAGAAGAUGAUGGAAACCUUGGAUAAGAAGAAAGGCCAUGCUUUGCUGAGGGGGUAGAGGACUGGGUUCUUCAUUCGUCUUGUGAUCUCCUCUGAAGAAACAUCAAGCCAUCCUUUACAUCCUAACAACACAUGCUACUGUGUUCUAUUGUAUUCAAAUCUAACACUGUUCAAUCUGUAAUCUACUCUAUCGUUAAUACCUGCUUACAUGCGUGCAUGCUCAAACGCACCAGGCGCCACCAUACACACACACAUGAGAACGCCACACUUACGCAAACUUGAAAUAUGGUGUAAUAUUAAUAAAAAGUGGCUGUAAAGAAAAACUGAAAAUAAGUUAAGUUCAUCACACCACAGAAGAAUGUGUUGUCGACUACCCAUCCACAUUCGAUGUAUGUUAAAUAAGGCUUUUUUUCUUUGUUAAGCUUCUCGAUGCAUGUUAAAUUAGGCUUUAAAAUCGUGAGUUAAUCAGCAGUCGUCUCUGCUUGAGACGGGAGGGGGGGGGGGGG